GUGGAGGAAGGUGGGGAUGACGUCAAGUCAGCAUGGCCCUUACUCCGGGGCUACACACGUGCUACAAUGGCCGGUACAAAGGGUUGCGAAAGCCGUGAGGUGGAGCGAAUCUCAAAAAAGCCGGCCUCAGUUCGGAUUGGAGGCUGCAACUCGCCUCCAUGAAGUCGGAAUCGCUAGUAACCGCACGAUCAGCUACGUUGCGGUGAAUACGUUCCCGGGCCUU
Molecule: ribosomal RNA, 223 nt
Filed under: uncultured Paenibacillus sp.
Lineage: Bacteria; Bacillati; Bacillota; Bacilli; Caryophanales; Paenibacillaceae
Description: partial 16S ribosomal RNA
Rfam family: Bacterial small subunit ribosomal RNA
Source: RNAcentral